Molecule: ribosomal RNA, 287 nt
Filed under: uncultured Anoxybacillus sp.
Lineage: Bacteria; Bacillati; Bacillota; Bacilli; Caryophanales; Anoxybacillaceae
Description: partial 16S ribosomal RNA
Rfam family: Bacterial small subunit ribosomal RNA
Source: RNAcentral
AGCGCAACCCUCGACCUUAGUUGCCAGCAUUCAGUUGGGCACUCUAAGGUGACUGCCGGCUAAAAAGUCGGAGGAAGGUGGGGAUGACGUCAAAUCAUCAUGCCCCUUAUGACCUGGGCUACACACGUGCUACAAUGGGCGGUACAAAGGGUCGCGAACCCGCGAGGGGGAGCCAAUCCCAAAAAGCCGCUCUCAGUUCGGAUUGCAGGCUGCAACUCGCCUGCAUGAAGCCGGAAUCGCUAGUAAUCGCGGAUCAGCAUGCCGCGGUGAAUACGUUCCCGGGCCUU